Non-coding RNA from Parelaphostrongylus tenuis, 74 nucleotides. Lineage: Eukaryota; Metazoa; Nematoda; Chromadorea; Rhabditida; Metastrongylidae. The record is from the annotation of a GenBank genome assembly.
UCCUCGGUAGUAUAGUGGUUAGUAUCCACGUCUGUCACCAUGCGAGACCCGGGUCCAAUUUCCCGGCCGGGGAG